UCGAAACCUGCCCAGCAGAACAACCCGUGAACAUGUUUGUAAAUCGAGGGGUCGACGUUGUAUUCGUCCAUUGUUGAUCCCUCAUUGGGGCCUAAACGAGGGAAACGGGAUCAGGCUAUGCCUUCCCCCCGCAACCCUUGAUCUUGGGCCUCUUAACCAAACCCCGGCGCCGAACGCGUCAAGGAAUUGCAAACGAAAAGAUAGCACGCCUUGGUUGCCCCGGAAACGGUGAGCAUCUGGAAUGCGUUGCACUUUUGAGAACCAAAACGACUCUCGGCAACGGAUAUCUCGGCUCUCGCAUCGAUGAAGAACGCAGCGAAAUGCGAUACUUGGUGUGAAUUGCAGGAUCCCGCGAACCAUCGAGUCUUUGAACGCAAGUUGCGCCCGAAGCCUUUUGGCCGAGGGCACGUCUGCCUGGGUGUCACUCAAUCGUCGCCCCCACCGCCUCCCUCCCUCGCGAGGGAUGCGGGCGGGACGGAAGCUGGCUUCCCGUGGACUUGUUCUCCGCGGUUGGCCCAAAUGCCCGGUCCUCGGCAGCCACGCCGCGACAAUCGGUGGUUGUAAGACCCUCGCAGAACGUCGUGCGCGCUCGGCCGUCCGUGCGGACCUAUGAGACCCCGAAGCGUGUCUUAGGGCGCGCUCUCUAUGCGACCCCAGGU
Molecule: ribosomal RNA, 659 nt
Filed under: Euphorbia helioscopia
Lineage: Eukaryota; Viridiplantae; Streptophyta; Magnoliopsida; Malpighiales; Euphorbiaceae
Description: eukaryotic LSU rRNA
Rfam family: 5.8S ribosomal RNA (bases 269-424)
Source: RNAcentral